This 254-nucleotide ribosomal RNA is filed under the name uncultured bacterium. Its description in RNAcentral is "partial 16S ribosomal RNA". It matches the Rfam family "Bacterial small subunit ribosomal RNA", at positions 524 to 777 of the family's 1533-position model. The record is from RNAcentral.
UACGUAGGGUGCAAGCGUUGUCCGGAAUUAUUGGGCGUAAAGAGCGUGUAGGCGGCUUCACAGGUCUGCUGUGAAAACUCGAGGCUCAACCUCGAGCUGUCGGUGGAAACCGUGGGGCUAGAGUCCGGAAGAGGAGAGUGGAAUUCCCGGUGUAGCGGUGAAAUGCGUAGAUAUCUGGAGGAACACCGGUGGCGAAGGCGGCAUCCUGGACCAACACUGACGCUGAGGAGCGAAAGCCAGGGGAGCAAACGGGG